Molecule: ribosomal RNA, 249 nt
Filed under: uncultured Pseudomonadota bacterium
Lineage: Bacteria; Pseudomonadati; Pseudomonadota
Description: uncultured proteobacterium partial 16S ribosomal RNA
Rfam family: Bacterial small subunit ribosomal RNA
Source: RNAcentral
UUAGGAAUUUUGCGCAAUGGGGGAAACCCUGACGCAGCAAUACCGCGUGAGCGAUGAAGGCCUUCGGGUUGUAAAGCUCUUUUAGUUGGGAAGAAAAAAAUGACGGUACCAACAGAAAAAGGACCGGCUAACUCCGUGCCAGCAGCCGCGGUAAUACGGAGGGUCCAAGCGUUAUUCGGAAUUACUGGGCGUAAAGAGAGCGUAGGCGGUUUUGUAAGUCUGAUGGGAAAGCCCUCGACCCAAUGCGGG